AAUGAACGCUGGCGGCAGGCUUAACACAUGCAAGUCGAGCGGUAACAGAGAGAAGCUUGCUUCUCUGCUGACGAGCGGCGGACGGGAGAGUAAUGCCUAGGAAUCUGCCUAGUAGUGGGGGAUAACUUGCCGAAAGGUAAGCUAAUACCGCAUACGUCCUACGGGAGAAAGGAGGGGACCUUCGGGCCUUUCGCUAUGAGAUGAGCCUAGGUCGGAUUAGUUAGUUGGUGAGGUAAUGGCUCACCAAGACCGCGAUCCGUAACUGGUCUGAGAGGAUGAUCAGUCACACUGGAACUGAGACACGGUCCAGACUCCUACGGGAGGCAGCAGUGGGGAAUAUUGGACAAUGGGGGGAACCCUGAUCCAGCCAUGCCGCGUGUGUGAAGAAGGUCUUAGGAUUGUAUAGCACUUUAAGUUGGGAGGAAGAGCAGUUAACUAAUAUUUGACUGUUUUGACGUUACCGACAGAAUAAGCACCGGCUAACUUCGUGCCAGCCGCCGCGGUAA
RNAcentral lists this ribosomal RNA (506 nucleotides) under uncultured bacterium. Its description in RNAcentral is "partial 16S ribosomal RNA". It matches the Rfam family "Bacterial small subunit ribosomal RNA", at positions 29 to 523 of the family's 1533-position model. The record is from RNAcentral.